GGGCUCACACAAGCGGUGGAGGAUGUGGCUUAAUUCGAGGCUACGCGAAGAACCUUAUCCUGGUCUUGACAUGUUUUAGAACCCGCCCGAAACGGUGGGGUGCCCGCAAGGGAGCUAUUGCACAGGUGCUGCAUGGCUGUCGUCAGCUCGUGUCGUGAGAUGUCGGGUUAAGUCCCUUAACGAGCGAAACCCUUGUCCUUAGUUGCCAGCGCGUUAUGGCGGGAACUCUAAGGAGACUGCCGGUGUUAAACCGGAGGAAGGUGGGGAUGACGUCAAGUCCUCAUGGCCCUUAUGACCAGGGCUGCACACGUCCUACAAUGAUACGCACAAAGGGAUGCAAACUCGUGAGAGCCAGCAAAUCCCAAAAAUCGUAUCCCAGUACGGAUUGCAGGCUGCAACUCGCCUGCAUGAAGCCGGAAUCGCUAGUAAUCGCGGGUCAGCACACCGCGGUGAAUGUGUUCCUGAGCCUU
Molecule: ribosomal RNA, 470 nt
Filed under: uncultured bacterium
Lineage: Bacteria
Description: bacterial SSU rRNA
Rfam family: Bacterial small subunit ribosomal RNA
Source: RNAcentral